RNAcentral lists this ribosomal RNA (493 nucleotides) under uncultured bacterium. Its description in RNAcentral is "partial 16S ribosomal RNA". It matches the Rfam family "Bacterial small subunit ribosomal RNA", at positions 30 to 523 of the family's 1533-position model. The record is from RNAcentral.
AUUGAACGCUGGCGGCAUGCUUUACACAUGCAAGUCGAACGGUAACAGGUUAAGCUGACGAGUGGCGAACGGGUGAGUAAUGCAUCGGAACGUGCCCGAUCGUGGGGGAUAACGCAGCGAAAGCUGCGCUAAUACCGCAUACGAUCUGAGGAUGAAAGCGGGGGACCGUAAGGCCUCGCGCGAUCGGAGCGGCCGAUGUCAGAUUAGAUAGUUGGUGGGGUAAAGGCCCACCAAGCCGACGAUCUGUAGCUGGUCUGAGAGGACGACCAGCCACACUGGGACUGGGACACGGCCCAGACUCCUACGGGAGGCAGCAGUGGGGAAUUUUGGACAAUGGGCGAAAGCCUGAUCCAGCAAUGCCGCGUGCAGGAAGAAGGCUUUCGGGUUGUAAACUGCUUUUGUACGGAGCGAAAAGGUCCUUUCUAAUACAAGGGGCUCAUGACGGUACCGUAAGAAUAAGCACCGGCUAACUACGUGCCAGCCGCCGCCGUAA